UACGGAGGGUGCAAGCGUUGUCCGGAAUCAUUGGGCGUAAAGAGUUCGUAGGCGGUAUGUUAAGUCUGGUGUUAAAGGCUGAGGCUCAACCUUGGUAGGGCACUGGAUACUGGCAAACUAGAAUGCGGUAGAGGUAAAGGGAAUUCCUGGUGUAGCGGUGAAAUGCGUAGAUAUCAGGAGGAACAUCGGAGGCGAAAGCGCUUUACUGGGCCGAAAUUGACGCUGAGGAACGAAAGCCAGGGUAGCAAAU
Molecule: ribosomal RNA, 250 nt
Filed under: uncultured prokaryote
Description: partial 16S ribosomal RNA
Rfam family: Bacterial small subunit ribosomal RNA
Source: RNAcentral